GUGGUGCAUGGUUGUCGUCAGCUCGUGUCGUGAGAUGUUGGGUUAAGUCCCGCAACGAGCGCAACCCUUAAGCUUAGUUGCCAUCAUUAAGUUGGGCACUCUAAGUUGACUGCCGGUGACAAACCGGAGGAAGGUGGGGAUGACGUCAAAUCAUCAUGCCCCUUAUGAUUUGGGCUACACACGUGCUACAAUGGACAAUACAAAGGGCAGCGAAACCGCGAGGUCAAGCAAAUCCCAUAAAGUUGUUCUCAGUUCGGAUUGUAGUCUGCAACUCGACUACAUGAAGCUGGAAUCGCUAGUAAUCGUAGAUCAGCAUGCUACGGUGAAUACGUUCCCGGGUCUUGUACACACCGCCCGUCACACCACGAGAGUUUGUAACACCCGAAGCCGGUGGAGUAACCUUUUAGGAGCUAGCCGUCGAAGGUGGGACAAAUGAUUGGGGUGAAGUCGUAACAAGGUAGCCGUAUCGGAAGGUGCGGCUGGAUCACCUCCUUU
This 495-nucleotide ribosomal RNA is filed under the name Staphylococcus aureus. RNAcentral describes it as "bacterial SSU rRNA". It matches the Rfam family "Bacterial small subunit ribosomal RNA", at positions 1038 to 1533 of the family's 1533-position model. RNAcentral also lists the same sequence under 9 other names. The record is from RNAcentral. Lineage: Bacteria; Bacillati; Bacillota; Bacilli; Caryophanales; Staphylococcaceae.